This 440-nucleotide ribosomal RNA is filed under the name uncultured bacterium. Its description in RNAcentral is "partial 16S ribosomal RNA". It matches the Rfam family "Bacterial small subunit ribosomal RNA", at positions 338 to 795 of the family's 1533-position model. The record is from RNAcentral.
CCUACGGGAGGCAGCAGUAGGGAAUAUUGCUCAAUGGGGGAAACCCUGAAGCAGCAACGCCGCGUGGAGGAUGAAGGUUUUCGGAUUGUAAACUCCUUUUGUUAGAGAAGAGAAUGACGGUAUCUAACGAAUAAGCACCGGCUAACUCCGUGCCAGCAGCCGCGGUAAUCAGGAGGGUGCAAGGGUUACUCGGAAUCACUGGGCGUAAAGAGCGCGUAGGCGGGAUAGCAAGUCAGAUGUGAAAACCUAUGGCUUAACCAUAGAACUGCAUUUGAACCUGUUAUUCUAGAGUAGGGGAGAGGUAGGUGGAAUUCUUGGUGUAGUGGUCAAAUCCGUAGAGAUCACGAGGAAUACUCAUUGCGAAGGCGACCUGCUAGAACAUAACUGACGCUGAUGCGCGAAAGCGUGGGGAGCAAACAGGAUUAGAUACCCCUGUAGUC